Molecule: ribosomal RNA, 253 nt
Filed under: uncultured bacterium
Lineage: Bacteria
Description: partial 16S ribosomal RNA
Rfam family: Bacterial small subunit ribosomal RNA
Source: RNAcentral
UACGGGGGGGGCAAGCGUUGUUCGGAAUUACUGGGCGUAAAGGGCUCGUAGGUGGCCAACUAAGUCAGACGUGAAAUCCCCAGGCUCAACUUGGGAACUGCGUCUGAUACUGGAUGGCUUGAAUUCGGGAGAGGGAUGCAGAAUUCCAGGUGUAGCGGUGAAAUGCGUAGAUAUCUGGAGGAAUACCGGUGGCGAAGGCGGCAUCCUGGACCGAGAUUGACACUGAGGAGCGAAAGCUAGGGGAGCAAACGGG